GAUCGAACGCCUGGGCGGCGUGCCUAAUACAUGUAAGUCGAGCGAUGGAAGUUUCCGUUCGGGAAAACGGGAUUAGCGGCGGACGGGUGAGUAACACGUGGGUAACCUGCCUCAUAGAGUGGAAUAGCCUUCCGAAAGGAAGAUUAAUACCGCAUAAUGUUGAAAGAUGGCAUCAUCAUUUAACCAAAGGAGCAAUCCGCUAUGAGAUGGACCCGCGGCGCAUUAGCUAGUUGGUGGGGUAACGGCCUACCAAGGCGACGAUGCGUAGCCGACCUGAGAGGGUGAUCGGCCACAUUGGGACUGAGACACGGCCCAG
RNAcentral lists this ribosomal RNA (316 nucleotides) under uncultured bacterium. Its description in RNAcentral is "bacterial SSU rRNA". It matches the Rfam family "Bacterial small subunit ribosomal RNA", at positions 27 to 334 of the family's 1533-position model. The record is from RNAcentral.